AUAACCUUUAGCCAAACCAGUAUUAAAGGCAACGCCUGCCCAGUGAAUAAUUCAACGGCCGCGGUACCCUAACCGUGCAAAGGUAGCAUAAUCAUUUGUCUACUAAUUAUAGACCUGCAUGAAAGGCAAAAUGAGGGCCCAACUGUCUCUUAUAAUAAAUCAACUAAACUGAUCUUCUAGUAAAAAAGCUAGAAUUCCAACAUAAGACCAGAAGACCCUGUGAAGCUUAAACAAAACCAUUAAAACAAAUAAUGACUACUUUAGGUUGGGGCGACCUUGGAAAAAAAAAGAACUUCCAAAAUAUAUGAUUACACCAUACCACACAUAAACAGGCCAACAAGCCACUAAACGACCCAGCUUCGGACUGACUAUUGAACCAAGUUACUCCAGGGAUAACAGCGCAAUCUUCUUCAAGAGCCCAUAUCAAAAAGAAGGUUUACGACCUCGAUGUUGGAUCAGGACGUCCUAAUGGAC
This 474-nucleotide ribosomal RNA is filed under the name Leptophis coeruleodorsus (Oliver's parrot snake). RNAcentral describes it as "partial 16S ribosomal RNA". It matches the Rfam family "Bacterial large subunit ribosomal RNA", at positions 1815 to 2558 of the family's 2925-position model. The record is from RNAcentral. Lineage: Eukaryota; Metazoa; Chordata; Lepidosauria; Squamata; Colubridae.